This 323-nucleotide ribosomal RNA is filed under the name uncultured bacterium. Its description in RNAcentral is "bacterial SSU rRNA". It matches the Rfam family "Bacterial small subunit ribosomal RNA", at positions 32 to 346 of the family's 1533-position model. The record is from RNAcentral.
AAUCAACGCUGGCGGCGUGCCUCAGACAUGCAAGUCGAACGAUUAAGACUUCCUUCGGGAAGUGCAUAAAGUGGCGCACGGGUGAGUAACACGUAAGUAAUCUACCCUCGAGUGGGGAAUAACGUUCGGAAACGGACGCUAAUACCGCAUAACGCAGCGGCACCGCAAGGUGACAGUUGUUAAAGGAGUAAUUCGCUUGAGGAGGAGCUUGCGGCAGAUUAGCUUGUUGGUAAGGAACGGCUUACCAAGGCUACGAUCUGUAUCCGGUCUAAGAGGACGGUCGGACACACUGACACUGAAUAACGGGUCAGACUCCUACGGGA